RNAcentral lists this small RNA (76 nucleotides) under Klebsiella ornithinolytica. Its description in RNAcentral is "Raoultella ornithinolytica sroE RNA". The record is from RNAcentral. Lineage: Bacteria; Pseudomonadati; Pseudomonadota; Gammaproteobacteria; Enterobacterales; Enterobacteriaceae.
AAAUAAUCCGGGGCAGCGUAAGACUUCCCGUGUAUGAUUGGACCCGCGGGCGCAACGCGCCGGGGGUCAUUUUUGU